AUAGGCAGCUAGCUCUCUGCAACUUUGACAUGGCUGCCACUGAAGCUAAGCAGGGCUGCGCCUGGACAGUUCCUGGAUUGGAUAUAACAUGGGAAAACUAGGUUGCUGCCGGAA
This 114-nucleotide ribosomal RNA is filed under the name Danio rerio (zebrafish). The record is from RNAcentral. Lineage: Eukaryota; Metazoa; Chordata; Actinopteri; Cypriniformes; Danionidae.